AUUGAACGCUGGCGGAAUGCUUUACACAUGCAAGUCGAACGGCAGCACGGGGGCAACCUUGGUGGCGAGUGGCGAACGGGUGAGUAAUGUAUCGGAACGUACCCAGUCGUGGGGGAUAACUAUCCGAAAGGAUAGCUAAUACCGCAUACGUCCUGAGGGAGAAAGCGGGGGAUCGCAAGACCUCGCGCGAUUGGAGCGGCCGAUAUCGGAUUAGCUAGUUGGUGAGGUAAAGGCUCACCAAGGCGACGAUCCGUAGCGGGUCUGAGAGGACGACCCGCCACACUGGAACUGAGACACGGUCCAGACUCCUACGGGAGGCAGCAGUGGGGAAUUUUGGACAAUGGGGGAAACCCUGAUCCAGCCAUUCCGCGUGAGUGAAGAAGGCCUUCGGGUUGUAAAGCUCUUUCAGCAGGAGCGAAACGGUCGGCUUUAAUAAAGUCGGCUAAUGACGGUACCUC
Molecule: ribosomal RNA, 458 nt
Filed under: uncultured bacterium
Lineage: Bacteria
Description: bacterial SSU rRNA
Rfam family: Bacterial small subunit ribosomal RNA
Source: RNAcentral